Molecule: ribosomal RNA, 468 nt
Filed under: uncultured bacterium
Lineage: Bacteria
Description: partial 16S ribosomal RNA
Rfam family: Bacterial small subunit ribosomal RNA
Source: RNAcentral
GAUGAACGCUGGCGGCGUGCUUAACACAUGCAAGUCGAACGGAAAGGCCAGUGCUCGCACUGGUACUCGAGUGGCGAACGGGUGAGUAACACGUGGGUGAUCUGCCCUGCACUUCGGGAUAAGCCUGGGUAACUGGGUCUAAUACCGGAUAGGACAAUGGUUUGGAUGCCGUUGUGGAAAGUUUUUUCGGUGUGGGAUGAGCUCGCGGCCUAUCAGCUUGUUGGUGGGGUAAUGGCCUACCAAGGCGUCGACGGGUAGCCGGCCUGAGAGGGUGUACGGCCACAUUGGGACUGAGAUACGGCCCAGACUCCUACGGGAGGCAGCAGUGGGGAAUAUUGCACAAUGGGCGCAAGCCUGAUGCAGCGACGCCGCGUGGGGGAUGACGGCCUUCGGGUUGUAAACUCCUUUCGCUAGGGACGAAGCGUAUUUGUGACGGUACCUGGAGAAGAAGCACCGGCUAACUACGUG